UACGUAGGGCGCAAGCGUUGUCCGGAAUCAUUGGGCGUAAAGAGCUCGUAGGUGGUCUGUUACGUCUGCUGUGAAAACCUAGGGCUUAACCCUGGGCCUGCAGUGGAUACGGGCAGACUAGAGGUAGGUAGGGGAGAAUGGAAUUCCCGGUGUAGCGGUGAAAUGCGCAGAUAUCGGGAGGAACACCGGUGGCGAAGGCGGCUGCCUGGACCAGUCCUGACGCUGAGGCGCGAAAGCUAGGGGAGCAAACAGG
This 253-nucleotide ribosomal RNA is filed under the name uncultured bacterium. RNAcentral's name for it is "partial 16S ribosomal RNA". It matches the Rfam family "Bacterial small subunit ribosomal RNA", at positions 524 to 776 of the family's 1533-position model. The record is from RNAcentral.